GUGCUCACUUCGGCAGCACAUAUACUAAAAUUGGAACAAUACAGAAAAGAUUAGCAUGGCCUCUGCACAAGGAUGACAGCAAAUUUGUGACCGUUCCAUAUUAAA
Molecule: small nuclear RNA, 105 nt
Filed under: Cebus imitator (Panamanian white-faced capuchin)
Lineage: Eukaryota; Metazoa; Chordata; Mammalia; Primates; Cebidae
Source: RNAcentral